CUUGCGGACACAAAAAGGCCAGCUCAGCUGCCGGUUAUAUCCCCCCCGGCGGCCUGUGGCCAGGCGUCCGCGCACGAGCGCUCCUGGAAGACCUGUAGCCCCGCCGCGAGUUCCGAUCGGCUCCGCGUGAGGAGCGGGCUUCUGCGACGUCACAAGCGCGCGCCUUCGGUGACGUCGCAAGGAUGGGCCUUGGAGCGAUGUCACAGGCGGGGGCGUUCGGCGGCGUCACGGAGGUGGGAGUGUCAGUAGCUGAGCAGUUGUCUCCUGAGAGUGGAGCCUGGUAACCGCGACCUCCCCUCCAGGUCCUGUGUGUUGCUGGCUGGAGAAGGGUAGUUGACAAACUCAGACCCAGCGCAGUGUUUAUGUCGGUCAAAAAUACAAAAAUAUGUCCAGGCGCGACCAAGGCGGGAGGAUCCCUUCAGGCCACGAUCAGUCUAGCAACAUGGCGCGACCCUGUCUCAGUAGUCCUACCUCAGCCCCCCAGCUACUUGAACCCCAAGGUUCAAGGCUCCAAUGAGCUAUGGUCCCACCAUAGCAUUCCAGCCUGCGAGACUGAGAUGAUGAUGAUUCUCCACCUUCUAAGAGACCAAAGACCAUUGAGACACCACAGCCACCAGUCCCGUAACCUGCCAAUGCUGGGCAACAGAAAGUGAGGGAGUUCAACUCUGGCCCUCACAAUCCAGUGGAGGAGACAAAACUCAUCUGCCUCUGUCCCUCUGGGCGCACCUCAUGCCGGUGCAUCUGUGGACAUGGGCCAUGCUCCUGGGCUUCCGAAGUUGGAGAAAGCUGCCAGGUUCAGGUGGGUACCUCAGAGCAGCUGCUGCCCUCUGGACACAGUGACAAAAGAACCCUGUGGGUCUGGAGCCCUGGUCUGGGGCAUUGGGCAAGGCUCUUGCACUUCUCUGAGCCCAUUUCCCCAUCUGGAUAGUGUGCUGAUUCUAUCUCCCUGUGGGCACUGAGGGCUCAGUGUUGGAGAGUCAGCAUCUGGGGUUUGGGCUGUAAUUCCCCUUCAGCCCCAUAGCUGGGGGGAGCCAGGGACUUUAUCGGGAUUAACCUAGGUGUCAUUCUAGCUUCCUGCCCCUGGCUUGGGUUCAGCAUCUGAAGUAGUCUAGGCGGCAGGUGGUCCUGGUGGGGGUUGGGGCUUUUCCCCAUUCUGAGGUCACACCCAGAGCCAGAAAUGUUGGUGCCUGCUCUGGGCAAAGGUGGCAGCCUGUGCGACAAGAGCGAAACUCCGUCUCAAAAAAAAAAAAAAAAACCUUCCACCAUUUCAAGGGGCUCACAUCUCCCUAAGGGCCCGGUAAUUGGCCUGAUCUGGCCUGCAGUUGGCCCCCAGGGUGCAGGUAACACCCCACCUUACCUGGCUUCUUUCUGCCAGGGCCAAUCUUCAGACCUCAGGACUUUCCAGCCUAUCCCACCUCCCUCUCUGGCCAGCCUUGAGCCCUUGUGGGUCCAGCACAUUUUCCAGGCUGUCUCUUGGUUGUCCUUCAGCCUCAAGGUCUGGAUCAUGCUGCUCCCCCUCCCAUUCACCAAGACCCACAAGGACCACUCCACACUCAGCUCAGCCCCAUCC
Molecule: non-coding RNA, 1570 nt
Organism: Macaca mulatta (Rhesus monkey)
Lineage: Eukaryota; Metazoa; Chordata; Mammalia; Primates; Cercopithecidae
Source: RefSeq, a predicted model, not a curated record